This 717-nucleotide long non-coding RNA is filed under the name Mustela putorius furo (domestic ferret). Its description in RNAcentral is "lncRNA (ENSMPUG00000031935.1)". The record is from RNAcentral. Lineage: Eukaryota; Metazoa; Chordata; Mammalia; Carnivora; Mustelidae.
GGGAUGUGCACUUUUGACUAGGUGGUACUGGUCCUCCUGAAUAGGGGACAUGAAGCUAUGUGGACACUGAGGGUGCUGGGGCUGCUCCACAAAACACACAUUGAUGACUGCGUGUUUAUGAUAAGGACGGGGGAGGAAAAUGCCUGCCAGCUUCUUUGCUCCUGGAGAAGUCCCUCACUGAACUCUGAGGUAAGGAAGGAAUUAUUGUGUGCCUACUAUGUUCUACAUACUGUCCUUGUUGCUGGAAAUUGGCAGCAAAGAAUCAGCAAAGGUAGGAUUUCUUCCUCUAUAGAUUUUAAGGUUAAUAGAAGAAGAAGAAAAAGAAUAAAUAAAGUUAUAAGUAAAUAUGUUCAUAUUGUGUUAAGUUCACAUGGAGGGGCAACCUGAGGCAGGAUGGACAAGGAAGACCUCUUUGAGAACUGACAUUUAUGCACAGCCUUGAAAAAAAAAAAAAAAAAAAGGAGCCACCGGGUGAGGGAGCAGCAAGCAUUGUAGGUAGAGGGAACCAUGCAUGCAAAAACCUGGAGAUAGGAAAGGAAUUGCAGUUUGCAAGCUAAAAAGGAGGCUAGGGUGGCUAUGGUGUGACCAUGGCAGAGAAAAUAUAAUAGAUGAGCUUGGAGAAAUAAGAAAGACUGGGUCAUGGUGUGCUUUUGAGGAGUAUGGAUCUUAUGUUAUAAUGCAAGCUUAAGGAGGGUAUUAAAAGCAACUGAAUUAAAG